RNAcentral lists this long non-coding RNA (1048 nucleotides) under Helianthus annuus (common sunflower). Its description in RNAcentral is "hypothetical non coding rna". The record is from RNAcentral. Lineage: Eukaryota; Viridiplantae; Streptophyta; Magnoliopsida; Asterales; Asteraceae.
UUGUUGAGGGUUAUGGAACUAUUAUGAGCUGACUCACUGACUUUCUUUCUUUUGUUCAGCUUGAUUCUGUAAACUGUUGGCACAUGACCAAAGUAAAAAUCAACUGAAAUCGAAAGAAAGAUACGUAGUCAAUUGACAUAAACUGAUAAAAUUAAUUAUAUACCAAUCAGAAACCACGGUUGAAAUUCUCCGGCGCCAUGGCGGUUUGACGAACUUAGCUUACUGACAAUUUCACUAAGAGAUGAUUUGGGGGUUUUAUAGUUGGGUGCAUCGUGGAGGAUGAGAUCAGAUAGGCUAAUGGAAUCUAGGGUUAAUUCUCCCCAAUACGGUGGAUGUCAACUCCGGUGAUCUUGCAGUAAUGGACCUGGGCUGAAACAAUUACCGAUGGGACGCAGUCAAGACAACAAAUUAAAUUAACAUGAUCAGGUCUGUCAGGGCCAGACGAAAGAACUCGGAGGAUGCUGUUGUGGGAGAAGACGACGAUGGCGGACCGAGCCUGCUUCAUGGAAUAUUAAAGGUAUAAUGAGUUGACGCUUAUCCGCGCGUUGCAGCAGGAUGUUAAUUAUAUGCCAACAUGUUACAGUUUAAACAUCAAUAUGUCUAAACCUAUAAUACUUUGUCAAAAUAACCGCGACAAAGUUCUAGCGGCCAAAAAGACGAAAGAACCGUCCCCGGUAAAGCUUAGUCAUGAUGAUACACCGUUGCGGUAGGUGAUCACACAACUCUCUCAUGCAUCGUAGCCACUUUAUCACAUCGAUGCGGAGAGGAUCCACUCCAAAUCAGACUCGUCAGAUCAAGAGAAAUUUUCUGACCAAAUCGCCAUGUGGACCUUAUCACCAACACUCGUGGACAUCACCAUAACCUUCCCCCGUAUGUCUAACGGCUUAAAACCCAUGUAGUGAUGAAAUAAAUUCAAAUGUAUGAGUAGUAUUAUAUUAUACACUAUAAAAAUUAUGGAUCGUGUCAUCAAGUAUGUUAAGUAUGUUCUAAAGGGUGUUUGUACACUUUUAUUUGUAACUUGUAUUUCAUAAUAUCAUAAAUAGUUUUC